RNAcentral lists this ribosomal RNA (301 nucleotides) under uncultured bacterium. Its description in RNAcentral is "partial 16S ribosomal RNA". It matches the Rfam family "Bacterial small subunit ribosomal RNA", at positions 509 to 809 of the family's 1533-position model. The record is from RNAcentral.
CAGCAGCCGCGGGAAUACGAAGGGUGCAAGCGUUACUCGGAAUUACUGGGCGUAAAGCGUGCGUAGGUGGUGGUUUAAGUCCGUUGUGAAAGCCCUGGGCUCAACCUGGGAAUUGCAGUGGAUACUGGGUCACUAGAGUGUGGUAGAGGAUAGUGGAAUUUCCGGUGUAGCAGUGAAAUGCGUAGAGAUCGGAAGGAACAUCUGUGGCGAAGGCGACUAUCUGGGCCAACACUGACACUGAGACACGAAAGCGUGGGGAGCAAACAGGAUUAGAUACCCGUGUAGUCCCUGUCUCUUAUGC